UUUCCGUAGGUGAACCUGCGGAAGGAUCAUUAAAAAAUUGGACUCCAUUGGUGAGUUCAUUAAUAAUCCCUACCCUUUGUGAAUUUGUUUGUUUGAAUAAUUUUUUUUCCAAAAAAAAUUAUUGAAUGUCUUUCCUUGUUUUGGUGGAGCUUGUAAAGUGAAACCAGGCAGGGGAAUGGCAAACAAUAAUUAUUUUUGAAAAAGACCCUUUUUUAAAAUUAAACUUUUUGUAUUCAUUUGUCUAAAAUUAAUUUUUAUAAUAUAAAAACAACUUUUGACAAUGGAUCUCUUGGUUCUCGCAACGAUGAAGAACGCAGCAAAAUGCGAUAAGUAGUGUGAAUUGCAGAAUACGUGAAUCAUCGAAUCUUCGAACGCAUAUUGCACUUUUUUAGUUUACUAAAAAAGUAUGUCUGUUUGAGUAUCAGUAAAAUAUUCUCAUAAAAAACAUUGUUUUUUUUAUGGUUAUGAGUGUUUUACAACGAUAACAAGUUGUUUCACUUUAAAUUCUUUGUUAUCAAAAAAAUCAUUAAAAGCUAAUUUUAAAGAUUUUUUAAAAUUGGAUAAAAUUUUCCCGUAAAAAGGAAUAACCUAAACAAUUUUAAAAAAUUAAAAUUGGUUUGAUUUUUUUUGAAACCCAAAGGAAAAAAAAACGAAAUUAACUUGAUCUCAAAUCAGAUAAGAGUACCCGCUGAACUUAAGCAUAUCAAUAAGCGGAGGAAAAGAAACUAACUAGGAUUCCCUCAGUAACGGCGAGUGAAGCGGGAAGAGCUCAAAUUUGAAAUCUCCAAGGUUUUACCUUGACGAAUUGUAGUUUAAAGAAGUGUUUUCUGUUGGAGUUUUGGUAAAAGUUCUUUGGAAAAGGACAUCAUAGAGGGUGAGAAUCCCGUAUUUGACCAUUAUCUCCAGCUUUGUGAUACACUUUCAAAGAGUCGGAUUGUUUGGGAAUGCAGUCCAAAAUGGGUGGUAAAUUUCAUCUAAAGCUAAAUACUGGCGAGAGACCGAUAGCGAACAAGUACCGUGAGGGAAAGAUGAAAAGAACUUUGAAAAGAGAGUUAAACAGUACGUGAAAUUGUCAAAAGGGAAGCGUUUGACACCAGUGUUGUUUUCUCGAAAAUCAAUUAAAAAAGGCCGGAUUUUGUGUUGUAUUGACUUUAUCAGCUUUCUGCACUCUUUUCUUGUCUUUUUUAAUGCACUUUUCGUUUAACAAGUCAACAUCAAUCUCUUUUGUUGUAAAAGGGUCAUUGGAAGGUGGCUUUCUUUUCGGAGAAAGUGUUUAUAGCCUUUGGCCUCUGCAAUCGGAGAGAUUGAGGUCUGCAGCGUAGAUCCUUCGGGGUUAGAUACAUUUGUGCUAAGUUAUAGCCUUUCAUAGACAACUUGUUGACUAUGAUCAGUCAUGUAGCUUACUCGCUUAUGCUAUUUUACCUACGCUUAGGAUGUUG
Molecule: unclassified non-coding RNA, 1439 nt
Filed under: uncultured Neocallimastigales
Lineage: Eukaryota; Fungi; Neocallimastigomycota; Neocallimastigomycetes; Neocallimastigales
Description: partial contains small subunit ribosomal RNA, internal transcribed spacer 1, 5.8S ribosomal RNA, internal transcribed spacer 2, and large subunit ribosomal RNA
Rfam family: Eukaryotic large subunit ribosomal RNA (bases 662-1439)
Source: RNAcentral